Long non-coding RNA from Sapajus apella (tufted capuchin), 298 nucleotides. RefSeq lists it as uncharacterized. NCBI's taxonomy places the organism in Eukaryota, Metazoa, Chordata, Mammalia, Primates, Cebidae. The transcript is spliced from 3 exons. The record is from RefSeq and is a predicted model, not a curated record.
GGCCCACUGUUGGGACCUAGUGCUCAGAAAAAAAGAUUCUUUUCAAAAUAUUACUGCUCAUUGCCAAGGCACCUGGUCACCCAAAAGGCUCAUGGAAAUGUACAAGAAGAUGAAUGUUUCAUGCCUGCUAACACAACAUCCAUUCUGUAGCCCAUGAAUCAAAGAGUAAUUUUGACUUUCAAGUCUUAUUAUUUAAGGAACCACUUUUGUAAGGCUAUUGGUGUUAUACAUAGUUAUUCCUGUGAUGGAUCUGGGUAAAUUAAAAAUCUUCUGGAAAUAAUUUACCAUUCUAGAUGCC